GCCCGGAUGGCGAAACGGUAGACGCAGGGGGCUUAAACCCUCCGGGCCGCUGGCCGUGCGGGUUCGACUCCCGCUCCGGGCA
Molecule: transfer RNA, 82 nt
Filed under: Acidimicrobium ferrooxidans DSM 10331
Lineage: Bacteria; Bacillati; Actinomycetota; Acidimicrobiia; Acidimicrobiales; Acidimicrobiaceae
Also listed under: 1 other name
Description: tRNA-Leu (TAA) (tRNA-Leu-TAA-1-1)
Rfam family: tRNA
About the family: Transfer RNA (tRNA) molecules are approximately 80 nucleotides in length. Their secondary structure includes four short double-helical elements and three loops (D, anti-codon, and T loops). Further hydrogen bonds mediate the characteristic L-shaped molecular structure. tRNAs have two regions of fundamental functional importance: the anti-codon, which is responsible for specific mRNA codon recognition, and the 3' end, to which the tRNAs corresponding amino acid is attached (by aminoacyl-tRNA synthetases). tRNAs cope with the degeneracy of the genetic code in two manners: having more than one tRNA (with a specific anti-codon) for a particular amino acid; and 'wobble' base-pairing, i.e. permitting non-standard base-pairing at the 3rd anti-codon position.
Source: Rfam by way of RNAcentral